ACAAACUUGGUCAUUUAGAGGAAGUAAAAGUCGUAACAAGGUCUCCGUAGGUGAACCUGCGGAGGGAUCAUUAAUGAAUGACCUUUUUUUUGGUCUUCAAACUUUCAAAACCUGUGGACAUUUAAAAAUGUGUUUCGGCGUUUCGGCGUCGUAUUUAUGCUAUAUCAUAUAUAUAUAUAUAUAUUGAAGUCUGGAUUAUAUAUAAAAAUAAUUAAAACUUUCAACAAAGGAUCUCUUGGCUCUUGCAUCGAUGAAGAACGCAGC
RNAcentral lists this unclassified non-coding RNA (264 nucleotides) under uncultured fungus. Its description in RNAcentral is "partial contains small subunit ribosomal RNA, internal transcribed spacer 1, and 5.8S ribosomal RNA". The stretch from base 1 to 73 matches the Rfam family "Eukaryotic small subunit ribosomal RNA", at positions 1759 to 1831 of the family's 1831-position model. The record is from RNAcentral. Lineage: Eukaryota; Fungi.